RNAcentral lists this ribosomal RNA (948 nucleotides) under Streptomyces sp. RNAcentral's name for it is "bacterial SSU rRNA". It matches the Rfam family "Bacterial small subunit ribosomal RNA", at positions 56 to 1019 of the family's 1533-position model. Lineage: Bacteria; Bacillati; Actinomycetota; Actinomycetes; Kitasatosporales; Streptomycetaceae. The record is from RNAcentral.
UGCAGUCGAACGAUGAGCCCUUCGGGGUGGAUUAGUGGCGAACGGGUGAGUAACACGUGGGCAAUCUGCCCUGCACUCUGGGACAAGCCCUGGAAACGGGGUCUAAUACCGGAUAUGACCAUCUUGGGCAUCCUUGAUGGUGUAAAGCUCCGGCGGUGCAGGAUGAGCCCGCGGCCUAUCAGCUUGUUGGUGAGGUAAUGGCUCACCAAGGCGACGACGGGUAGCCGGCCUGAGAGGGCGACCGGCCACACUGGGACUGAGACACGGCCCAGACUCCUACGGGAGGCAGCAGUGGGGAAUAUUGCACAAUGGGCGAAAGCCUGAUGCAGCGACGCCGCGUGAGGGAUGACGGCCUUCGGGUUGUAAACCUCUUUCAGCAGGGAAGAAGCGAAAGUGACGGUACCUGCAGAAGAAGCGCCGGCUAACUACGUGCCAGCAGCCGCGGUAAUACGUAGGGCGCAAGCGUUGUCCGGAAUUAUUGGGCGUAAAGAGCUCGUAGGCGGCUUGUCACGUCGAUUGUGAAAGCUCGGGGCUUAACCCCGAGUCUGCAGUCGAUACGGGCUAGCUAGAGUGUGGUAGGGGAGAUCGGAAUUCCUGGUGUAGCGGUGAAAUGCGCAGAUAUCAGGAGGAACACCGGUGGCGAAGGCGGAUCUCUGGGCCAUUACUGACGCUGAGGAGCGAAAGCGUGGGGAGCGAACAGGAUUAGAUACCCUGGUAGUCCACGCCGUAAACGGUGGGAACUAGGUGUUGGCGACAUUCCACGUCGUCGGUGCCGCAGCUAACGCAUUAAGUUCCCCGCCUGGGGAGUACGGCCGCAAGGCUAAAACUCAAAGGAAUUUGACGGGGGCCCGCACAAGCGGCGGAGCAUGUGGCUUAAUUCGACGCAACGCGAAGACCUUACCAAGGCUUGACAUACACCGGGAAAGCAUUAGAGAUAGUGCCCCCUUG